This 277-nucleotide ribosomal RNA is filed under the name uncultured bacterium. RNAcentral describes it as "partial 16S ribosomal RNA". It matches the Rfam family "Bacterial small subunit ribosomal RNA", at positions 28 to 298 of the family's 1533-position model. The record is from RNAcentral.
GAUAAACGCUGGCGGCGUGCCUAACACAUGCAAGUGGAGCGACGAACCGGGCUUCGGCCCGGGGCAAAGCCGCGAACGGGUGAGUAACACGUGGGUUACCUGCCCCGAUGAUCGGGACAACCCGAGGAAACUCGGGCUAAUACCGAAUGUGCCCUCCGGCCUCAAGGCCGCUGGGGAAAGGAAGCUUCGGCCUCCGCAUCGGGAUGGGCCCGCGGCCCAUUAGCUUGUUGGUGGGGUAAUGGCCUACCAAGGCGACGAUGGGUAGCUGGUCUGAGAG